AACGCAACUUGCACUUUUUGAUUUAUUCAAAAAGUAUGCCUAUUUGAGUAUAUUUUUCUAACUUAAGUUUUUUAAAAACUUAGUAAUGAGUCUAAAUUUAUAAAAUAAUUUGACUUUAAUUAUAUAAAUUGUUAUUUUAUAAAGUUUUAUUACAAUUAUAAGUUGAUGUAAUUAUGCAUAUUUUAAGCAAUAAUCAUCAGCGAAUUUAUUUAUAAUAGUAUUAAAAUUUUUAUAAAAGCAUUAAAUUUUUUAAUAUAUAAUAUCUCAAAUUAGGUAAGAUUACCCGCUGAAUUUAA
This 296-nucleotide unclassified non-coding RNA is filed under the name uncultured soil eukaryote. RNAcentral's name for it is "sequence contains 5.8S rRNA gene, ITS2, 28S rRNA gene". The record is from RNAcentral.